This 301-nucleotide ribosomal RNA is filed under the name uncultured bacterium. Its description in RNAcentral is "partial 16S ribosomal RNA". It matches the Rfam family "Bacterial small subunit ribosomal RNA", at positions 509 to 809 of the family's 1533-position model. The record is from RNAcentral.
CAGUCGCCACGGUAAUACGAGGGGGGCAAGCGUUGUUCGGAAUUAUUGGGCGUAAAGGGUGCGUAGGCGGUUUGACAAGUCUUAUGUGAAAUCUUCGGGCUCAACCCGAAGUCUGCAUGGGAAACUGUCGGGCUUGAGUAUGGGAGAGGUGAGUGGAAUUUCCGAUGUAGCGGUGAAAUGCGUUGAGAUCGGAAAGAACACCAACGGCGAAAGCACUCUGCUGGGACGAAACUGACGCUGAGAGACGAAAGCUAGGGGAGAAAAUGGGAUUAGAUACCCCAGUAGUCCCUGUCUCUUAUAA